GGAUUGGGGUCGGGGAAGCCUCUCGGAUAAUAACUGCAAAUAGAAAAAGAGGCAAAAACAAUUUCUUCUCUGCCUCGAAGCAGAAAGGACUGUGUUCUUAAAGCCGCUGGUUGCAGUCACAAGGCCAGUUGCCUGCCUCCGUUGCCUGCGUAAAGUGAGGACUCGCUGUCCCUCCCUCUAUCCCUUCUUGGAACGGCAGCCCGGGAAUGCAGCUCAAGUCAUUUCUCCGCUGAGACCUCGGACAAGUCACUUCCUCCCAGCUGCAGUGUCCUUUUCUCUAAAAGGCGUUAAGCGGCUCUUGGUGGUGAGGCUGGGAGGGGCACUGGGUGGGGGGCACGCAGGAGGUGCUCAGUGACUCUGGUUUCCCCUCUCGGAGUUCAUACUUACCCGGAGGCAGCAGUCACUGUGGUAGCCGCCUGGAACCAGGGCUCCUGGGGUGCCACGUGUGCCC
Molecule: long non-coding RNA, 451 nt
Filed under: Felis catus (domestic cat)
Lineage: Eukaryota; Metazoa; Chordata; Mammalia; Carnivora; Felidae
Description: lncRNA (ENSFCAG00000047445.1)
Source: RNAcentral